This 253-nucleotide ribosomal RNA is filed under the name uncultured bacterium. RNAcentral describes it as "partial 16S ribosomal RNA". It matches the Rfam family "Bacterial small subunit ribosomal RNA", at positions 524 to 776 of the family's 1533-position model. The record is from RNAcentral.
UACGGAGGAUCCAAGCGUUAUCCGGAAUCAUUGGGUUUAAAGGGUCCGUAGGCGGAUUAGUAAGUCAGGGGUGAAAGUUUGCGGCUUAACCGUAAAAUUGCCCUUGAUACUGCUAGUCUUGAAUAAUUAUGAAGUAGCUAGAAUAUGUAGUGUAGCGGUGAAAUGCUUAGAUAUUACAUGGAAUACCGAUUGCGAAGGCAGGUUACUAAUAAUUUAUUGACGCUGAUGGACGAAAGCGUGGGGAGCGAACAGG